AUAAAGACGACAAGAAAGAAGAGUAAGUUUAUUCAAAUCGACAGUGAAUUGGGGAUGGUGAGAACCCAAGAGACAUUGAAUUUACUGAAUAACCCUUUCUUAUGUUUCUAGCUGAAAUGGCUUUGCCAAAGUAGGUUUAGACGUAACCGAUACGUUACCAUCGGCAGAGUAUAGUUGUUUUGUACUCUUAUUGAGGUGGCUUAUUUUUGAUAAGCAACUUGGGUGGUACCGCGAAAGUCUUUCGUCCCUUUU
This 252-nucleotide non-coding RNA is filed under the name Companilactobacillus tucceti. RNAcentral describes it as "Lactobacillus tucceti T-box sequence". It matches the Rfam family "T-box leader". Rfam says of the family: Uncharged tRNA acts as the effector for transcription antitermination of genes in the T-box leader family. T-boxes are found upstream of many aminoacyl-tRNA synthetase genes and some amino acid biosynthetic genes usually in Gram-positive bacteria. The record is from RNAcentral. Lineage: Bacteria; Bacillati; Bacillota; Bacilli; Lactobacillales; Lactobacillaceae.